UCACACGAUUAACUAUAAGCAGCUUCCGGAACAAGCCUUUUCCAUCUGACCCCCUACAAACGCUUCCCUCUUUUUCCCUCCAAUGCAUUAUUAUAAAAACACACACACACACAAUUAAUACAACCUUCUCCACCUCCGGUCGUUAACAUUUGUCAUGAUAUUAUAAUUGACGAGGUUGAAACUUUCUAGUUUCUCAUAAAGCUCCAAAUUUUAUCUGAACAAAUACCUACAAAAGUCGUACCAACACGACUCAUAAGUCUAGAUAUAAUUAUGACUAUUAUUGUAGUCAAUAAGGUUGAAACUUCCUAGUUUCUCAGAAAACACGACUCUUCAUCUGAACAGUAUCUACACAACUCAUAAGUUUGAGUAUAGUGAGGUUGAAACUUCCUAGUUUCUCAGAAAACCUGACUUUUCAUCUGAACAGGUACCUACACAACUCACAAGUCUAUAUAUAAUCAUGACUAUUAUUGUUGUCAACAAGGUUGAAACUUCCUAAUUUCUCAGAAAACGUGACUCUUUAUGUGAACAGGUACCUAUAUAACUAAUAGGUUUGUAUAAAGUGAGGUUGAAACUUGAAACUUCCUAGUUUCUCAGAAAGCUCGACUCUUCAUCUAAGCAGGCAUCUACCCAACUCAUAAGUCUGUUUAUAGUUACGACCGUUGUUAUAGUAAACUGUUUUUAGGAGAUAUUGACGUGUCAUCUGCACAGGUACCUACAUUGUUAUACGAAUAUGGUGAAGAGUGAUAAUAAAGUGGUGGAAUUAGCUAAAGGAUGCAAGACACCAACACAUGAUAAAUGUAGAAUUAAGGUGAAUUUUAUGUGUCCACCACCAACACCAAGGAAGAAAAGAAUGUAUAAUGUGAAGAGUGCUCCACCCAAAGAGGGGUAUUUUGAGGUGCCUGAUAUUGAGGUUUUCUUACCUCUUUAUAAACCAAGGAGGUAGACUUAGUGUUUCUGUCGGAAACAGUCUCUCUAUCUAUUUUUACAGUUGUUAUUGGUUCUAUAGCUUUGCUAGGUGAAGAUAUAUAAAAGAAUGGUAUUUUGGUUUGUUUUUUGAUGUAUCCUAGAUUUUGUACAACGUAGAAUUGGUUAAAAACCAUGGGGAGGAGCAUUAUUGAUUAUGUCAAGUUUAUAAAUGCAUUUUUAGGUAAUGAGGUCUUACCCAAGUUCUUUUAAGAAAAAAUGUGUUCUUUUUAAAUAAAAAAUUAUUAUACACUUUAUUUUUUUGGCCC
Molecule: long non-coding RNA, 1232 nt
Organism: Capsicum annuum
Lineage: Eukaryota; Viridiplantae; Streptophyta; Magnoliopsida; Solanales; Solanaceae
Exons: 2
Source: RefSeq, a predicted model, not a curated record